CCUACGGUAGGCAGCAGUGGGGAAUAUUUGGCAAUGGGCGCAAGCCUGACCCAGCAACGCCGCGUGAAGGAAGAAGGCUUUCGGGUUGUAAACUUCUUUUCUCAGGGACGAAGAAAGUGACGGUACCUGAGGAAUAAGCCACGGCUAACUACGUGCCAGCAGCCGCGGUAAUACGUAGGUGGCAAGCGUUAUCCGGAUUUAUUGGGUGUAAAGGGCGUGUAGGCGGGAGCGCAAGUCAGAUGUGAAAACGCAGGGUUCAACCUGUGGCCUGCAUUUGAAACUGUGUUUCUUUAGUACUGGAGAGGCAGACGGAAUUCCUAGUGUAGCGGUGAAAUGCGUAGAUAUUAGGAGGAACACCAGUGGCGAAGGCGGUCUGCUGGACAGCAACUGACGCUGAGGCGCGAAAGCGUGGGGAGCAAACAGGAUUAGAUACCCUGGUAGUC
This 443-nucleotide ribosomal RNA is filed under the name uncultured bacterium. RNAcentral describes it as "partial 16S ribosomal RNA". It matches the Rfam family "Bacterial small subunit ribosomal RNA", at positions 338 to 795 of the family's 1533-position model. The record is from RNAcentral.